GUGGAUCUUUACUGACUUGGCUCGGGACCAGCACUCCUGUUGUUGGACAGAAAGACAUCAACUCAGUGACUUGAGAUAUGACUGCACUGUGCUGUUGCUGUGACUCCAGUUAAUUCUGCAAGACAUGCUGUGUAAGUAAACAAACAACAACAGUUUG
Long non-coding RNA from Pelmatolapia mariae (spotted tilapia), 157 nucleotides. RefSeq lists it as uncharacterized. The transcript is spliced from 3 exons. The record is from RefSeq and is a predicted model, not a curated record. Lineage: Eukaryota; Metazoa; Chordata; Actinopteri; Cichliformes; Cichlidae.